ACGCUCGACACCUACGGGAGCAGCAGUGGGGAAUAUUGCACAAUGGGGGAAACCCUGAUGCAGCGACGCCGCGUGAGCGAAGAAGUAUCUCGGUAUGUAAAGCUCUAUCAGCAGGGAAGAAGAUGACGGUACCUGACUAAGAAGCACCGGCUAAAUACGUGCCAGCAGCCGACGGUAAUCUGAGCGGGCUGGCAAGGC
This 198-nucleotide ribosomal RNA is filed under the name uncultured bacterium. RNAcentral's name for it is "partial 16S ribosomal RNA". It matches the Rfam family "Bacterial small subunit ribosomal RNA", at positions 328 to 539 of the family's 1533-position model. The record is from RNAcentral.